Molecule: long non-coding RNA, 342 nt
Filed under: Rattus norvegicus (Norway rat)
Lineage: Eukaryota; Metazoa; Chordata; Mammalia; Rodentia; Muridae
Description: long non-coding RNA NONRATT001873
Source: RNAcentral
UGUAGUUCUAGGUAAGUGAUCAGGCGGCUCAGUGAAGAGCCUGAAAAACCAAACCUGCAGUUCCUGGGCGCGAAUUAACUCGUCCAGUGUGGACUAUCUGUGCACAUCUUGCGAAUCCUAAUGAACUGACCAGCAGCAUUUUCACAAGUUGAAAUGAACAGAGAGCUUUUAGAGCCAACAUGUAACAGAUGGAUGUGAGCCCAAGGCCAUCAUCUUCAUGCCGACACUCUUGACUGGGUAGGAUCUGUCUCUUCAUCUUUGAUCUGGAUUGCUGGCAAAUAAAAGGAGUUCAUGUAGUGUUUUAGUUAAGCUUGAGUCACCAUGAGUAGUAGUUUAGGAAAA